UACGUAGGUGGCGAGCGUUGUCCGGAAUUACUGGGUGUAAAGGGCGUGUAGGCGGGAAUAUAAGUCAGAUGUGAAAUUCCAGGGCUUAACUCUGGGGCUGCAUCUGAAACUAUAUUUCUUGAGUGCUGGAGAGGGAAGCGGAAUUCCUAGUGUAGCGGUGAAAUGCGUAGAUAUUAGGAGGAACACCAGUGGCGAAGGCGGCUUUCUGGACAGUAACUGACGCUGAGGCGCGAAAGCGUGGGGAGCAAACGGG
This 253-nucleotide ribosomal RNA is filed under the name uncultured bacterium. RNAcentral describes it as "partial 16S ribosomal RNA". It matches the Rfam family "Bacterial small subunit ribosomal RNA", at positions 524 to 776 of the family's 1533-position model. The record is from RNAcentral.